Molecule: small RNA, 445 nt
Filed under: Arabidopsis thaliana (thale cress)
Lineage: Eukaryota; Viridiplantae; Streptophyta; Magnoliopsida; Brassicales; Brassicaceae
Description: ATSL217610
Source: RNAcentral
UAAUGGUAUCAUCAAAUGAUUUGGUGUAUCGUAGCACAACAUCAAUUGUUCAAGAUUCGGCAUUGUCUUCAGAAAGUGGUUGACCUACUUGAUUUGAUCAGCUGUGUCUUCGUUGUCAUCACAAAGUUCGUUAAUCUCUAUUAUCAAGUCCGGUGAAGGUCCUUAAGAUAUUUAAGUUUGAAGAAAUUUGUGAUGACAAUGAAGACAUAAAGGAGCAGAUCGAGCACGUCAAACACUUCCUAAUUAAAGCAAUGCCAAAUCUUGAUCAGGUGAUGUUGUGGUAGGAUAAACCAAAUGAUCUAAUGAAUGUCAUGAGAUGGUGUAGUCUUUUUAGACGACUACGUCAUCUCCAUGAUCUGAUGAAUGUCACUUGCAACAUCUUUCCCGCUUCUAGUAUCCUAGCUGAGCUUGAAAAACUCAUGGCUUUGGGCUUAGCUAGAAAGAC